GCAAGAGUGGCGAAAUGGUAGACGCGCUGGAUUUAGGAUCCAGUUCCCGAGAGGGAGUGGGGGUUCAAGUCCCUCCUCUUGUACCA
RNAcentral lists this transfer RNA (86 nucleotides) under Campylobacterota bacterium. Its description in RNAcentral is "Epsilonproteobacteria bacterium tRNA-Leu". It matches the Rfam family "tRNA". Rfam says of the family: Transfer RNA (tRNA) molecules are approximately 80 nucleotides in length. The record is from RNAcentral. Lineage: Bacteria; Pseudomonadati; Campylobacterota.